UUCUUCCAAUGCUUCUUCAACACCUGAGAGUUCAGCUGUUAAUUGUUGUUGCUUUAAUUGUAACGUUUUUAAAUACUCGUUUAAAUCAAUAUAAGCCAACUUUAACAUGGCGUGGUCAUCGUAUAACUUUUGCAUUUCUUCAAAGUAUGGUAACUCACGGAAUUUGAAACCAUGCUUUUCCUCAGCCAUAUGGAAUAAGUCGAAAAAAGUUUGCGUUUCAUCAAUCGUUAACGUUUUAGUUUUGACACCAAUAUCAUAUGUUUUUUUAAUAUUACGUCUCGUUUGAUAAUCCAUUUCUUUUAAAAGUUGGUCUUCAGUCUUAUCUUUUAAAUCUAACACUG
RNAcentral lists this small RNA (341 nucleotides) under Staphylococcus aureus. RNAcentral describes it as "HMPRFS0000_2696". The record is from RNAcentral. Lineage: Bacteria; Bacillati; Bacillota; Bacilli; Caryophanales; Staphylococcaceae.